This is a transfer RNA of Ovis aries (sheep), 73 nucleotides long. It matches the Rfam family "tRNA". From Rfam's summary of the family: Transfer RNA (tRNA) molecules are approximately 80 nucleotides in length. The record is from Rfam. Lineage: Eukaryota; Metazoa; Chordata; Mammalia; Artiodactyla; Bovidae.
UCCCUGGUGGUUCAGUGGCUAAGACUUUCCGCUCCCAAUGCAAGGGACCUGGGUUCAAUCCCUGGUCAGGGAA